GUGAGGUAAUGGCUUACCAAGGCGGCGACGGGUAGCCGGCCUGAGAGGGUGACCGGCCACACUGGGACUGAGACACGGCCCAGACUCCUACGGGAGGCAGCAGUGGGGAAUAUUGCGCAAUGGGCGGAAGCCUGACGCAGCGACGCCGCGUGGGGGAUGAAGGCCUUCGGGUUGUAAACCUCUUUCAGCAGGGAAGAAGCGAAAGUGACGGUACCUGCAGAAGAAGCACCGGCUAACUACGUGCCAGCAGCCGCGGUAAUACGUAGGGUGCAAGCGUUGUCCGGAAUUAUUGGGCGUAAAGAGCUCGUAGGCGGUCUGUCGCGUCUGCUGUGAAAACUCGAGGCUUAACCUCGGGCUUGCAGUGGGUACGGGCAGACUAGAGUGCAGUAGGGGAGACUGGAAUUCCUGGUGUAGCGGUGAAAUGCGCAGAUAUCAGGAGGAACACCGGUGGCGAAGGCGGGUCUCUGGGCUGUAACUGACGCUGAGGAGCGAAAGCAUGGGGAGCGAACAGGAUUAGAUACCCUGGUAGUCCAUGCCGUAAACGUUGGGCGCUAGGUGUGGGGUCCUAUCCACGGGUUCCGUGCCGUAGCUAACGCGUUAAGCG
Molecule: ribosomal RNA, 604 nt
Filed under: uncultured Actinomycetes bacterium
Lineage: Bacteria; Bacillati; Actinomycetota; Actinomycetes
Description: bacterial SSU rRNA
Rfam family: Bacterial small subunit ribosomal RNA
Source: RNAcentral